GUGCUCACUUUGGCAGCACAUAUACUAAAAUUGGAACUAUACAGAGAAGUUUAGCAUGGCCCCU
RNAcentral lists this small nuclear RNA (64 nucleotides) under Acanthisitta chloris (rifleman). Lineage: Eukaryota; Metazoa; Chordata; Aves; Passeriformes; Acanthisittidae. The record is from RNAcentral.